This 460-nucleotide ribosomal RNA is filed under the name uncultured bacterium. RNAcentral describes it as "partial 16S ribosomal RNA". It matches the Rfam family "Bacterial small subunit ribosomal RNA", at positions 338 to 795 of the family's 1533-position model. The record is from RNAcentral.
CCUACGGGUGGCAGCAGUGAGGAAUAUUGGUCAAUGGACGAGAGUCUGAACCAGCCAAGUAGCGUGAAGGAUGACUGCCCUAUGGGUUGUAAACUUCUUUUAUAAAGGAAUAAAACGAGGCACGUGUGCCUUUUUGCAUGUACUUUAUGAAUAAGGAUCGGCUAACUCCGUGCCAGCAGCCGCGGUAAUACGGAGGAUCCGAGCGUUAUCCGGAUUUAUUGGGUUUAAAGGGAGCGUAGAUGGGAUGUUAAGUCAGUUGUGAAAGUUUGCGGCUCAACCCUAAAAUUGCAAUUGAUACUGGCAGUCUUGAGUACAGGUGAGGUAGGCGGAAUUCCUGGUGUAGCGGUGAAAUGCGUAGAUAUCAGGAAGAACACCGGUGGCGAAGGCAGCUUACUGAACUGUGACUGACAUUGAGGCUCGAAAGUGUGGGGAGCAAACAGGAUUAGAUACCCCUGUAGUC